This 42-nucleotide non-coding RNA is filed under the name Schistosoma margrebowiei. Lineage: Eukaryota; Metazoa; Platyhelminthes; Trematoda; Strigeidida; Schistosomatidae. The record is from RNAcentral.
AUGCUGACGAAUCUCAAAUGGGACGAAACGCGCGUCCUGAAU